Long non-coding RNA from Glycine soja, 359 nucleotides. RefSeq lists it as uncharacterized. Lineage: Eukaryota; Viridiplantae; Streptophyta; Magnoliopsida; Fabales; Fabaceae. The transcript has 2 exons. The record is from RefSeq and is a predicted model, not a curated record.
UCCUCACGUUAUAUAUACGCGUAAUCUGUCUUAAAUUUUCAUGGACAAUUAAGGCUAAAAAAGGUCACUGCAGCUUUAGAUUAUUUUUUUUUCUUAUUGCUGUCCAGAGGCUCUUCGAGGUAUGGGGGGAGGGAUGUUGUACGCAGUCUUACCCUUGCAUAUGCAAAGAGGCUGUUUCCGGAUUCGAACCCGACCAACAAAUCACCAAGACACAACUUUAAUCUAUGACAAUGAAUGAAGGAGGGAAACGACGUGGUGCCAUCGUGGGAAAUUGCUUACGACGACAACGCACGACGGAGGAGGUUUAAUCCAAUGCAGUGGAUGUACAAUGAAAAACCCUUAAACCUAGAUGAAUCUAA